This is a long non-coding RNA of Cyprinus carpio carpio, 666 nucleotides long. The record is from Ensembl. NCBI's taxonomy places the organism in Eukaryota, Metazoa, Chordata, Actinopteri, Cypriniformes, Cyprinidae.
AUGACCAGUGACUUUCCUUCCGUUACUGCAGAGUCCUUCCUUCAAGAGCUUAAAAGCUCACUGUUUGAGGAAAUACAUGAGGAUGAAACGGUACUUCAAGCCUCAACAGACUGGUCGACCCGAAAGAGCCUCAUAUCAGGGUGGUGGGAGAAAGAGAGACCCCGACUGGUCAACACCAUGGUGGCUGGACAACAUGCGGCAACUCGGAUCUGCCAACAUUGUGGAAAUGGUCCAGCCGUAAUCCGUUGUUGUGACUGCCGACCACACCCAUUCCUCUGUGGCCAGUGUGAUGUCAGGGUCCACCGAGGUCAAGUGUUCCACAACAGGGAUUCGAUGACACAUGCAUUCUUUCAUCCAUUGCCUCCCACAACUUGUGUUGUGGAGAGGGUUCUAACCCAGUGUGAGCGUCUUGUACCUUUGGAGAUGCCAGAGACAAUAUGCGGUUGUCUACGAGUAUCGUCCAGUGUCAUCGCAGGACAGUCCAUAGUUGUGGUUACAAUGAAUGGGCGAUAUGAUCUCAGAUUGCCUCAGAUUAGAUGCAAAGCAUGUGAAGCCACUUGGAGUCCUGGAGUGGAUGACCUGAUCCGUAAUGACUACUGGCCUGCCACUUCUCACUAUUCAACUGUGUAUGCAACAGAUGUCCUUUUUUUCUUUUUGAAGAGCUGA